CAGCCGCCACGGGAAUACGGAGGGUGCAAGCGUUAAUCGGAAUUACUGGGCGUAAAGCGCACGCAGGCGGUCUGACAAGUCAGAUGUGAAAUCCCCGGGCUUAACCUGGGAACUGCAUUUGAAACUGUCAGGCUGGAGUCUUGUAGAGGGGGGUAGAAUUCCAGGUGUAGCGGUGAAAUGCGUAGAGAUCUGGAGGAAUACCGGUGGCGAAGGCGGCCCCCUGGACAAAGACUGACGCUCAGGUGCGAAAGCGUGGGGAGCAAACAGGAUUAGAUACCCCAGUAGUCCCUGUCUCUUAUAA
Molecule: ribosomal RNA, 301 nt
Filed under: uncultured bacterium
Lineage: Bacteria
Description: partial 16S ribosomal RNA
Rfam family: Bacterial small subunit ribosomal RNA
Source: RNAcentral